GAUGAACGCUGGCGGCGUGCCUAAUACAUGCAAGUCGAGCGAACAGACGAGGAGCUUGCUCCUCUGACGUUAGCGGCGGACGGGUGAGUAACACGUGGAUAACCUACCUAUAAGACUGGGAUAACUUCGGGAAACCGGAGCUAAUACCGGAUAAUAUAUUGAACCGCAUGGUUCAAUAGUGAAAGACGGUUUUGCUGUCACUUAUAGAUGGAUCCGCGCCGCAUUAGCUAGUUGGUAAGGUACGGCUUACCAAGGCAACGAUGCGUAGCCGACCUGAGAGGGUGAUAGGCCAAACUGGAACUGAGACACGGUCCAGACUCCUACGGGAGGCAGCAGUAGGGAAUCUUCCGCAAUGGGCGAAAGCUUGACGGAGCAACGCCGCGUGAGUGAUGAAGGUCUUCGGAUCGUAAAACUCUGUUAUUAGGGAAGAACAAAUGUGUAAGUAACUAUGCACGUCUUGACGGUACCUAAUCAGAAAGCCACGGCUAACUACGU
RNAcentral lists this ribosomal RNA (495 nucleotides) under uncultured bacterium. RNAcentral's name for it is "partial 16S ribosomal RNA". It matches the Rfam family "Bacterial small subunit ribosomal RNA", at positions 28 to 506 of the family's 1533-position model. The record is from RNAcentral.